GGCCGUGUGGCGAAAUGGCAUCGCGUCUGACUACGAAAUCUGUGAUCAGGAGAUUGCAGGUUCGAGACCUGUCUCGGUCA
Transfer RNA from Piloderma croceum F 1598, 80 nucleotides. It matches the Rfam family "tRNA". From Rfam's summary of the family: Transfer RNA (tRNA) molecules are approximately 80 nucleotides in length. Their secondary structure includes four short double-helical elements and three loops (D, anti-codon, and T loops). Further hydrogen bonds mediate the characteristic L-shaped molecular structure. tRNAs have two regions of fundamental functional importance: the anti-codon, which is responsible for specific mRNA codon recognition, and the 3' end, to which the tRNAs corresponding amino acid is attached (by aminoacyl-tRNA synthetases). tRNAs cope with the degeneracy of the genetic code in two manners: having more than one tRNA (with a specific anti-codon) for a particular amino acid; and 'wobble' base-pairing, i.e. permitting non-standard base-pairing at the 3rd anti-codon position. Lineage: Eukaryota; Fungi; Basidiomycota; Agaricomycetes; Atheliales; Atheliaceae. The record is from Rfam.